RNAcentral lists this ribosomal RNA (253 nucleotides) under uncultured bacterium. RNAcentral's name for it is "partial 16S ribosomal RNA". It matches the Rfam family "Bacterial small subunit ribosomal RNA", at positions 524 to 776 of the family's 1533-position model. The record is from RNAcentral.
UACGUAGGGUGCGAGCGUUGUCCGGAAUUAUUGGGCGUAAAGCGCUCGUAGGCGGUUUGUUGCGUCUAUCGUGAAAACCUGCAGCUUAACUGUGGGCUUGCGGUGGAUACGGGCAGACUUGAGUUCGGUAGGGGAGACUGGAAUUCCUGGUGUAGCGGUGAAAUGCGCAGAUAUCAGGAGGAACACCGGUGGCGAAGGCGGGUCUCUGGGCCGAUACUGACGCUGAGGAGCGAAAGCGUGGGGAGCGAACAGG